Molecule: ribosomal RNA, 253 nt
Filed under: uncultured bacterium
Lineage: Bacteria
Description: partial 16S ribosomal RNA
Rfam family: Bacterial small subunit ribosomal RNA
Source: RNAcentral
CGUAGAGUGCAAGCGUUGUCCGAAUUAUUGGGCGUAAAGGGUACGCAGGGCGGAUAAUCAAGUCAAGCGUGAAAGGUGUCGGCUUAACCGACAGACUGCGUUUGAAACUGGUUAUCUUGAGUGUAACAGAGGAGAGUGGAAUUCCUAGUGUAGUGGUGAAAUACGUAGAUAUUAGGAAGAACACCAGUGGCGAAGGCGACUCUCUGGGUUAACACUGACGCUGAGGUACGAAAGCUGGGGGAGCGAACGGGAU